Molecule: non-coding RNA, 79 nt
Filed under: Levilactobacillus brevis
Lineage: Bacteria; Bacillati; Bacillota; Bacilli; Lactobacillales; Lactobacillaceae
Source: RNAcentral
AACCUAGCCAGUGAUAGUUAACUGAGUAUUUCAGGAGUCAGCCGAGGCCAUAGUAGUUCGCCGUAUGGAGAAUAAAGGA